UACGUAGGGCGCGAGCGUUGUCCGGAAUUACUGGGCGUAAAGCGUGCGCAGGCGGUUUUGUAAGCCAGAUGUGAAAUCCCCGGGCUUAACCUGGGAAUGGCAUUUGGGACUGCAAGGCUUGAGUGCGGCAGAGGAGACUGGAAUUCCUGGUGUAGCAGUGAAAUGCGUAGAUAUCAGGAGGAACACCGGUGGCGAAGGCGGGUCUCUGGGCCGAUACUGACGCUGAGGAGCGAAAGCGUGGGGAGCGAACAGG
This 253-nucleotide ribosomal RNA is filed under the name uncultured bacterium. RNAcentral's name for it is "partial 16S ribosomal RNA". It matches the Rfam family "Bacterial small subunit ribosomal RNA", at positions 524 to 776 of the family's 1533-position model. The record is from RNAcentral.